RNAcentral lists this non-coding RNA (45 nucleotides) under Trichobilharzia regenti. Lineage: Eukaryota; Metazoa; Platyhelminthes; Trematoda; Strigeidida; Schistosomatidae. The record is from RNAcentral.
AUUUGAAUGACGAGUCCCAAAUAGGACGAAAUGCAAAGCCUAGAU